Molecule: ribosomal RNA, 433 nt
Filed under: uncultured bacterium
Lineage: Bacteria
Description: partial 16S ribosomal RNA
Rfam family: Bacterial small subunit ribosomal RNA
Source: RNAcentral
AACGAACGCUGGCGGCAUGCCUAACACAUGCAAGUCGAACGAGACCUUCGGGUCUAGUGGCGCACGGGUGCGUAACGCGUGGGAACCUUCCCUUAGGUUCGGAAUAACUCCCCGACAGGGGUGCUAAUACCGGAUAAUGUCUUCGGACCAAAGAUUUAUCGCCUUUGGUUGGGCCCGCGUUGGAUUAGCUAGUUGGUAGGGUAAAAGCCUACCAAGGCGACGAUCCAUAGCUGGUCUGAGAGGAAGAUCAGCCACACUGAGACUGAGACACGGCCCAGACUCCUACGGGAGGCAGCAGUGGGGAAUAUUGGACAAUGGGCGAAAGCAUGAUGCAGCAAUGCCGCGUGAGUGAUGAAGGCCUUAGAGUUGUAAAGCUCUUUUAACCGGGAUGAUAAUGACAGUACCGGAAGAAUAAGCUCCGGCUAACUCCGUG